Molecule: ribosomal RNA, 253 nt
Filed under: uncultured bacterium
Lineage: Bacteria
Description: partial 16S ribosomal RNA
Rfam family: Bacterial small subunit ribosomal RNA
Source: RNAcentral
UACGUAGGGACCGAGCGUUGUCCGGAAUUAUUGGGCGUAAAGAGCUCGUAGGCGGCCUGUUGCGUCUGCUGUGAAAUCCCGGGGCUUAACCCCGGGCGUGCAGUGGAUACGGGCAGGCUGGAGGCAGGCAGGGGAGAAUGGAAUUCCCGGUGUAGCGGUGAAAUGCGCAGAUAUCGGGAGGAACACCGGUGGCGAAGGCGGUUCUCUGGGCCUGUUCUGACGCUGAGGAGCGAAAGCGUGGGGAGCGAACAGG